GUGCAGCAGGCGCGAAACUUUACAAUGUGCGAAAGCACGAUAAGGGAACUCCGAGUGCCUCCUAAGGAGGCUGUUCAGGUGUCUAAAAGCACCUGAAGGAAGGGCUGGGUAAGACCGGUGCCAGCCGCCGCGGUAACACCGGCAGCCCAAGUGGUAGCCACGUUUAUUGGGUCUAAAGCGUCCGUAGCCGGCUGGGUAAGUUCCUUGGGAAAUUUGGCUGCUCAACAGUCAAGCUUUCAGGGAAUACUGCCCGGCUUGGGACCGGGAGAGGUCAGAGGUACUCCAGGGGUAGGGGUGAAAUCCAUUAAUCCUUGGGGGACCACCGGUAGCGAAGGCGUCUGACCAGACCGGGUCCGACGGUGAGGGACGAAGGCUAGGGGCGCGAACCGGAUUAGAUACCCGCGUAGU
Molecule: ribosomal RNA, 408 nt
Filed under: uncultured microorganism
Description: bacterial SSU rRNA
Rfam family: Archaeal small subunit ribosomal RNA
Source: RNAcentral